This 381-nucleotide ribosomal RNA is filed under the name uncultured Pseudomonas sp. RNAcentral describes it as "bacterial SSU rRNA". It matches the Rfam family "Bacterial small subunit ribosomal RNA", at positions 22 to 403 of the family's 1533-position model. Lineage: Bacteria; Pseudomonadati; Pseudomonadota; Gammaproteobacteria; Pseudomonadales; Pseudomonadaceae. The record is from RNAcentral.
GCUCAGAUUGAACGCUGGCGGCAGGCCUAACACAUGCAAGUCGAGCGGCAGCACGGGUACUUGUACCUGGUGGCGAGCGGCGGACGGGUGAGUAAUGCCUAGGAAUCUGCCUGGUAGUGGGGGAUAACGCUCGGAAACGGACGCUAAUACCGCAUACGUCCUACGGGAGAAAGCAGGGGACCUUCGGGCCUUGCGCUAUCAGAUGAGCCUAGGUCGGAUUAGCUAGUUGGUGAGGUAAUGGCUCACCAAGGCGACGAUCCGUAACUGGUCUGAGAGGAUGAUCAGUCACACUGGAACUGAGACACGGUCCAGACUCCUACGGGAGGCAGCAGUGGGGAAUAUUGGACAAUGGGCGAAAGCCUGAUCCAGCCAUGCCGCGUG